GUGGCUUAAUUUGACUCAACGCGGGAAAUCUUACCGGGUCCGGACACACUGAGGAUUGACAGGCAAUAUAUGUGACUCUUCGGAGUUUGCAUUGUUAAAUAUGCUAGUCCUUUCAUGAUUAUGUGAUAGGUGGUGCAUGGCCGUUCUUAGUUCGUGGAGUGAUCUGUCUGCUUAAUUGCGUUUCAAAUUACUUAUAAGGUAGCAAUACGCGAUGAAGCUUUCAAUAGUCCUCACGGAUUCACUUGAGUCUCUCGCUUCGCUAUCCUUUCGAAUGCAACGAACGUGACCGCAACCUCUUGUUGCCUUCGUUUAACAUCCUGCAGCUCGCUGUGGGUACUGAGGGCUUCACUCGGUGACUUUGGGCUGAGCAAUCGGUCUUUUGAU
This 384-nucleotide ribosomal RNA is filed under the name Globigerinita uvula. RNAcentral's name for it is "bacterial SSU rRNA". It matches the Rfam family "Eukaryotic small subunit ribosomal RNA", at positions 1185 to 1401 of the family's 1831-position model. The record is from RNAcentral. Lineage: Eukaryota; Foraminifera; Rotaliida; Globigerinitidae.